RNAcentral lists this ribosomal RNA (253 nucleotides) under uncultured bacterium. RNAcentral describes it as "partial 16S ribosomal RNA". It matches the Rfam family "Bacterial small subunit ribosomal RNA", at positions 524 to 776 of the family's 1533-position model. The record is from RNAcentral.
UACGAAGGGGGCUAGCGUUGUUCGGAAUUACUGGGCGUAAAGCGUGCGCAGGCGGCCAUCCAAGUCAGUGGUGAAAGCCCGGAGCUCAACUCCGGAAUUGCCAUUGAAACUGUUUGGCUCGAGUACGGGAGAGGUGAGUGGAAUUCCUAGUGUAGAGGUGAAAUUCGUAGAUAUUAGGAAGAACACCAGUGGCGAAGGCGGCUCACUGGUCCGGUACUGACGCUGAGGUGCGAAAGCGUGGGGAGCAAACAGG